Molecule: ribosomal RNA, 280 nt
Filed under: uncultured bacterium
Lineage: Bacteria
Description: partial 16S ribosomal RNA
Rfam family: Bacterial small subunit ribosomal RNA
Source: RNAcentral
CCUACGGGGGGCAGCAGUGGGGAAUAUUGCGCAAUGGGCGAAAGCCUGACGCAGCGACGCCGCGUGAGGGACGAAGGCCUUCGGGUUGUAAACCUCUUUCAGCAGGGACGAAGCGAAAGUGACGGUACCUGCAGAAGAAGCACCGGCUAACUACGUGCCAGCAGCCGCGGUAAUACGUAGGGUGCAAGCAUUGUCCGGAUUUAUUGGGCGUAAAGAGCUCGUAGGCGGCUUGUCACGUCGGGUGUGAAAACUCGGGGCUCAACCCCGAGCCUGCACUCGA